AUACGUAGGGGGCAAGCGUUAUCCGGAUUUACUGGGUGUAAAGGGAGCGUAGACGGCAAAGCAAGUCUGAAGUGAAAGCCCCGGGCUCCACCCGGGAAUUGCUUUGGAAACUGUUUAGCUGGAGUGCAGGAGAGGUAAGCGGAAUUCCUAGUGUAGCGGUGAAAUGCGCAGAUAUUAGGAAGAACACCGGGGGCGAAGGCGGCUAUCUGGACAGUAACUGACGCUGAGGCGCGAAAGCGUGGGGAGCAAACAGGAUUAGAUACCCUGGUAGUCCAGGCCGUAAACGAUGAAUACUAGGUGUAGGGGGUAUCGACUCCCUCUGUGCCGCAGUUAACACAAUAAGUAUUCCGCCUGGGGAGUACGGCCGCAAGGCUGAAACUCAAAGGAAUUGACGGGG
This 397-nucleotide ribosomal RNA is filed under the name uncultured bacterium. RNAcentral's name for it is "partial 16S ribosomal RNA". It matches the Rfam family "Bacterial small subunit ribosomal RNA", at positions 523 to 918 of the family's 1533-position model. The record is from RNAcentral.